UGUGGCAGCGUGAGCUGUGGGAAGAGAAUCCACGUCUGUUGUGCCCAUCCCGCUAUCUUCUUGCCCGACACUGUUGCUAGAAUAUGUGACAUCUUCUUCCCUGCACGUCGGUGUGUUCAUGGAGGCAGUGUGGCCGUACUGGGUCAGGACUGAGGCUGAAGAAGCCAGGAGCGACGAUGUCUUUGGGUGAAAAUCUUACUGCUGUGGGGCAUGUGCAGUCGUGCGUAGGAUGUCUUGCUGCUGCCCCGUGUGUGAGGUGGAGGGGAACACCCCCCCUUCACCUGAAGCUGGGAGGACCUCUGAGGAGAUGAUCUCUUUAACUCCAAUCCUUUUAUGUCUGAAGUCGUGGAGGAUACCAGCAGGAACCAUGCCGUCUCGCUGCUACACGGUGACAGCCACGGACAGGGGUUGAACUGACGUGAUCUAAUCAAUCUGAAGAUUUCAUCUUAUAAAAAUAUUUACACUUUCUGAAAAUCAUAAAACCACAG
This 488-nucleotide long non-coding RNA is filed under the name Mustela putorius furo (domestic ferret). RNAcentral describes it as "lncRNA (ENSMPUG00000029560.1)". The record is from RNAcentral. Lineage: Eukaryota; Metazoa; Chordata; Mammalia; Carnivora; Mustelidae.